RNAcentral lists this ribosomal RNA (563 nucleotides) under uncultured bacterium. RNAcentral describes it as "partial 16S ribosomal RNA". It matches the Rfam family "Bacterial small subunit ribosomal RNA", at positions 355 to 911 of the family's 1533-position model. The record is from RNAcentral.
UGGGGAAUUUUGGACAAUGGGGGAAACCCUGAUCCAGCCAUCCCGCGUGUGCGAUGAAGGCCUUCGGGUUGUAAAGCACUUUUUGCAGGAAAGAAACGUCGCGGGUUAAUACCCCGCGAAACUGACGGUACCUGCAGAAUAAGCACCGGCUAACUACGUGCCAGCAGCCGCGGUAAUACGUAGGGUGCAAGCGUUAAUCGGAAUUACUGGGCGUAAAGCGUGCGCAGGCGGUUCGGAAAGAAAGAUGUGAAAUCCCAGAGCUUAACUUUGGAACUGCAUUUUUAACUACCGGGCUAGAGUGUAUCAGAGGGAGGUGGAAUUCCGCGUGUAGCAGUGAAAUGCGUAGAUAUGCGGAGGAACACCGAUGGCGAAGGCAGCCUCCUGGGAUAACACUGACGCUCAUGCACGAAAGCGUGGGGAGCAAACAGGAUUAGAUACCCUGGUAGUCCACGCCCUAAACGAUGUCAACUAGCUGUUGGGGCCUUCGGGCCUUGGUAGCGCAGCUAACGCGUGAAGUUGACCGCCUGGGGAGUACGGUCGCAAGAUUAAAACUCAAAGGAAUU